UGCAGUDNGUCGAACGGUAGCAGGAAGUGCUUGCACUUCGCUGACGAGUGGCGGACGGGUGAGUAAUGCUUGGGAACUUGCCUUUGGGUGGGGGAUAACAGUUGGAAACGACUGCUAAUACCGCAUAAUGUCUACGGACCAAAGGGGGCUUCGGCUCUCGCCUUGAGAGAGGCCCAAGUGAGAUUAGCUAGUUGGUGGGGUAAAGGCCUACCAAGGCAACGAUCUCUAGCUGUUCUGAGAGGAAGAUCAGCCACACUGGGACUGAGACACGGCCCAGACUCCUACGGGAGGCAGCAGUGGGGAAUAUUGCACAAUGGGGGAAACCCUGAUGCAGCCAUGCCGCGUGUGUGAAGAAGGCCUUCGGGUUGUAAAGCACUUUCAGUUGUGAGGAAAGGUUGGUAGUUAAUACCUGCCAGCUGUGACGUUAACAACAGAAGAAGCACCGGCUAACUCCGUGCCAGCAGCCGCGGUAAUACGGAGGGUGCGAGCGUUAAUCGGAAUUACUGGGCGUAAAGCGCACGCAGGCGGCUUGUUAAGCUAGAGGUGAAAGCCCCGCGCUCAACGUGGGAACUGCCUUUAGAACUGGCGGGCUAGAGUCUUGGAGAGGGGAGUGGAAUUCCAGGUGUAGCGGUGAAAUGCGUAGAUAUCUGGAGGAACAUCAGUGGCGAAGGCGGCUCCCUGGCCAAAGACUGACGCUCAUGUGCGAAAGUGUGGGUAGCGAACAGGAUUAGAUACCCUGGUAGUCCACACCGUAAACGCUGUCUACUAGCUGUUUGUGUAUUUAAUACGUGAGUA
This 795-nucleotide ribosomal RNA is filed under the name uncultured Alteromonas sp. RNAcentral's name for it is "bacterial SSU rRNA". It matches the Rfam family "Bacterial small subunit ribosomal RNA", at positions 56 to 845 of the family's 1533-position model. The record is from RNAcentral. Lineage: Bacteria; Pseudomonadati; Pseudomonadota; Gammaproteobacteria; Alteromonadales; Alteromonadaceae.